GACGAACGCUGGCGGCGUGCCUAAUACAUGCCAGUCGAACGAGAGCGCCCGGUGCUUGCACUGGUCAAUCUAGUGGCGAACGGGUGAGUAACACGUGGGUAACCUGCUCAUCAGAGGGGGAUAACAUCCGGAAACGGAUGCUAAAACCGCAUAGGUCUUCGAGCCGCAUGGCUUGAAGAGGAAAAGAGGCGCAAGCUUCUGCUGAUGGAUGGACCCGCGGUGCAUUAGCUAGUUGGUGAGGUAACGGCUCACCAAGGCCGUGAUGCAUAGCCGACCUGAGAGGGUGAUCGGCCACAUUGGGACUGAGACACGGCCCAAACUCCUACGGGAGGCAGCAGUAGGGAAUCUUCCGCAAUGGACGCAAGUCUGACGGAGCAACGCCGCGUGAGUGAAGAAGGUUUUCGGAUCGUAAAACUCUGUUGUUAGAGAAGAACAAGUGCUAGAGUAACUGUUAGCGCCUUGACGGUAUCUAACCAGAAAGCCACGGCUAACUACGUG
This 498-nucleotide ribosomal RNA is filed under the name uncultured bacterium. RNAcentral describes it as "partial 16S ribosomal RNA". It matches the Rfam family "Bacterial small subunit ribosomal RNA", at positions 28 to 507 of the family's 1533-position model. The record is from RNAcentral.